Non-coding RNA from Pelobates cultripes (western spadefoot toad), 210 nucleotides. The record is from the annotation of a GenBank genome assembly. Lineage: Eukaryota; Metazoa; Chordata; Amphibia; Anura; Pelobatidae.
GUUUGUUCACAGGGGGUGGAGUGUGUAGGGGAUGUCCUGAUAUGUGUGUAAGGAAUGCAUUGCGUGAAAUUGUGUUUGUAUGUGUAAGGACUGCAAGGUGUGUUUCUGUGUAUGUAUGGGAUGCAUUGAAUGUGUGUAAGGGGUGCAUUGAGUGUGUGUAAUGAAUGCAUUGUGUGUUUCUGUGUGUGUAAGGGAUGCAUUGUGUGUAAC